AACGAACGCUGGCGGCAGGCUUAACACAUGCAAGUCGAGCGGGGACUUAGGUCCUAGCGGCGGACGGGUGAGUAACGCGUGGGAACGUGCCUUUUGCUUCGGGAUAGCCCUGGGAAACUGGGAGUAACACCGGAUGAGCCCUUUGGGGGAAAGAUUUAUCGGCAAGAGAUCGGCCCGCGUUGGAUUAGGUAGUUGGUGGGGUAAAGGCCUACCAAGCCGACGAUCCAUAGCUGGUUUGAGAGGAUGAUCAGCCGCACUGGGACUGAGACACGGCCCAGACUCCUACGGGAGGCAGCAGUGGGGAAUCUUAGACAAUGGGUGCAAGCCUGAUCUAGCCAUGCCGCGUGAGUGAUGAAGGCCUUAGGGUUGUAAAGCUCUUUCAGUGGGGAAGAUAAUGACGGUACCCACAGAAGAAGCCCCGGCUAACUCCGUGCCAGCCGCCGCGGUAA
RNAcentral lists this ribosomal RNA (449 nucleotides) under uncultured bacterium. Its description in RNAcentral is "partial 16S ribosomal RNA". It matches the Rfam family "Bacterial small subunit ribosomal RNA", at positions 29 to 523 of the family's 1533-position model. The record is from RNAcentral.